Molecule: ribosomal RNA, 499 nt
Filed under: uncultured Sphingobacteriales bacterium
Lineage: Bacteria; Pseudomonadati; Bacteroidota; Sphingobacteriia; Sphingobacteriales
Description: bacterial SSU rRNA
Rfam family: Bacterial small subunit ribosomal RNA
Source: RNAcentral
CCAGCCCGCUCAAGAAACUCAAAUAAGUUGGACGGGGGCCGCACAAGCGGUGGAGCAUGUGGUUUAAUUCGAUGAUACGCGAGGAACCUUACCUGGGCUACAAAUGUAUGUUGACGUAUUCUAGAAAGGGAUACUUCUUCGGACAAUAUACAAGGUGCUGCAUGGUUGUCGUCAGCUCGUGCCGUGAGGUGUCGGGUUAAGUCCCAUAACGAGCGCAACCCCUAUCAUUAGUUGCCAUCAGGUCAAGCUGGGGACUCUAAUGAAACUGCCUACGCAAGUAGUGAGGAAGGUGGGGAUGACGUCAAAUCAGCACGGCCCUUACGUCCAGGGCUACACACGUGCUACAAUGGCCGGUACAAAGGGCAGCUACCUGGUGACAGGAUGCAAAUCUCCAAAGUCGGUCUCAGUUCGGAUCGGAGUCUGCAACCCGACUCCGUGAAGUUGGAUUCGCUAGUAAUCGCGCAUCAGCCAUGGCGCGGUGAAUACGUUCCCGGGCCUU